AACCUUAUGGACCUGCGGGCGUAUACCUGCGGAGGGAUCAUUAAUGAAUAAACUUGGUCAAGCUGUUGCCGGUCUCUCGGGAUAUGUGCACGCUUGCCACCAAUUUUAACCACCUGUGCACUUCUUGUAGAUUGGAAACGUUUCUCGAGGCAACUCGGAUUGAGAACUGCUGUGCGAAAGCCGGCUGUUCUUGUGUUUCUCAGUCUAUGUUUCAUAUACUCCGAAUGUAUGUAUAAGAAU
RNAcentral lists this unclassified non-coding RNA (240 nucleotides) under soil metagenome. RNAcentral describes it as "partial contains 5.8S ribosomal RNA, internal transcribed spacer 2, and large subunit ribosomal RNA". The record is from RNAcentral.